This 440-nucleotide ribosomal RNA is filed under the name uncultured bacterium. RNAcentral describes it as "partial 16S ribosomal RNA". It matches the Rfam family "Bacterial small subunit ribosomal RNA", at positions 338 to 795 of the family's 1533-position model. The record is from RNAcentral.
CCUACGGGUGGCAGCAGUGGGGAAUAUUGCACAAUGGGGGAAACCCUGAUGCAGCGACGCCGCGUGAGUGAAGAAGUAUUUCGGUAUGUAAAGCUCUAUCAGCAGGGAAGAAAAUGACGGUACCUGAUUAAGAAGCCCCGGCUAACUACGUGCCAGCAGCCGCGGUAAUACGUAGGGGGCAAGCGUUAUCCGGAUUUACUGGGUGUAAAGGGAGCGUAGACGGCAGCACAAGUCUGGAGUGAAAUGCCGGGGGUUAACCCCGGAACUGGUUUGGGAACUGUGCAGCUUGAGUGCAGGAGGGGGAAGUGGAAUUCCUAGGGUAGCGGUGAAAUGCGGAGAUAUUAGGAGGAACACCAGGGGCGAAGGCGGCUUACUGGACCGUAACUGACGGUGAGGCUCGAAAGCGUGGGGAGCAAACAGGAUUAGAUACCCGUGUAGUC